This 829-nucleotide ribosomal RNA is filed under the name uncultured bacterium. RNAcentral's name for it is "bacterial SSU rRNA". It matches the Rfam family "Bacterial small subunit ribosomal RNA", at positions 54 to 893 of the family's 1533-position model. The record is from RNAcentral.
CAUGCAGUCGACGAGAACGGCCUUUAGCUUGCUAAAGGUGUCAGCUAAGUGGCGGACGGGUGAGUAAUGUAUAGCUAACGUGCCCCUUGGAGAGGGAUAACGUCUGGAAACGGGCGCUAAUACCUCAUACUCCUUUUCUGUUAAUUCAGAAUUGGGAAAUGGUUUUUCCGCCAAGGGAUCGGGCUAUAUGGUAUCAGGUAGUUGGUGGGGUAAGAGCCCACCAAGCCGAUGACGCCUAGCUGGUCUGAGAGGAUGAUCAGCCACACUGGAACUGAGACACGGUCCAGACUCCUACGGGAGGCAGCAGUGGGGAAUAUUGCACAAUGGAGGAAACUCUGAUGCAGCAACGCCGCGUGGAGGAUGACGCAUUUCGGUGUGUAAACUCCUUUUAUAUGGGAAGAUAAUGACGGUACCAUAUGAAUAAGCACCGGCUAACUCCGUGCCAGCAGCCGCGGUAAUACGGAGGGUGCAAGCGUUACUCGGAAUCACUGGGCGUAAAGCGCGCGCAGGCGGGCUGAUAAGCUGGAUGUGAAAUCCUAUGGCUUAACCAUAGAACUGCAUCCAGAACUGUCAGUCUAGAGUCUGGGAGGGGAAGAUGGAAUUAGUUGUGUAGGGGUAAAAUCCGUAGAGAUAACUAGGAAUACCAAAAGCGAAGGCGAUCUUCUGGAACAGUACUGACGCUGAGGCGCGAAAGCGUGGGGGAGCAAACAGGAUUAGAUACCCUGGUAGUCCACGCCCUAAACGAUGAAUGUUAGUCGUUGGUGUCCUAGUGACAUCAGUGAUGCAGCUAACGCAUUAAACAUUCCCGCCUGGGGAGUACGGUCGCAGA